AAUAAUCUCAUUUUUCGAUUUUCGAUUUUUCCUAUUUUUAGAACAGGUUUAUUAGUUCUCACUAAUGGUGAUUGUAACCAUAGUCAUCUAUUCAAAUUUUCGAGCUCAGGUUGAUCAAAUCCAGUCCAAUGCUGGAUAUUAUGGAUAUGCCCCUGGAUAUGAAACCUAUGGAUAUGCUCAAGCAGCUCAGGAUCCAAAUUUGUACUACGGAGGUUACCAAGGAUAUGGAAACUACCCACCGCCCCCUCAACAACCACCUCAGGUAGAUAUGCCUAUAGAUUUGAUGGGAAAACCCUUUUUACCUGAAAAUCAUUAUUAACAUACUUUGCAUGGGAGGGAGGACUAGUUGAACACUGUACAUUUACAUUUAUGCAAUGCUGAUUAUUGACUAGUUUUCCCAUUUCUUGUUCUUUUUACUUCAUCUUUCAUCAUUAGGAUCAACAGUGGUUUGUUGACACUCCUUCAUAUCAGCUUCAUUGGUACAGAAAUAUGGGUUUGCUCUAUCUUGUGUAUGAGGAGCAAAAAUAGUGGGAUAUUGAUAUAUGUUUUUGUAUUUUGUACGAUGUUAUUGAAACUGGCGAGAAAGUGCCUCUAUCAGCAAGAAGUUAGCUUCUUCACCAUGUCAGAUGCGUAUGUAUGUAUGUGUAUCCAAACACUAGAGAGCAUUGUUCAUUGUCUUUUACUCGUGGCGUUUCUCUACAAAAGAAUCCUAUUAUUAUUAUUAAAAUCCUAUUGAUCUAGCAGUGCCAUAACUUGGGAUCAUAACACCAAACAUAGGAAAUAUAAACACAACAUGAGAUGGAGGCCAUGGAUUUGCAGUACAUUAUUAAAAUCCUUUUGAAAGUUGCACUACCUAGCAGACGUAGCCAAGAAAGAGGAUGAGGAUUUUAAUGUCUCUCUGUUACCCAAAUAUGGAUGCUCAUCCUUGUACAUUUUUUAUACUCAUUAAAUUGUUUGAACGGGCAGCUCCAAGUUUCAGUUUUGCCUAUAGUUAUUAUUUUUUUCACAAACGUGUAUGCAAUCUUCUCUUUGGUCUGAGCUGGCAGCAAGUGGAAUUUUUCUUUUCAAGGUCUUUUUGUCGUCUGCCAUCGUCGUCGCAAGAUUGGUUAGAACUUUGCUUGCUUAACAGUUUCUGAAUUGAGUUUUGUUGAUAUGAAACCAUGGUUUUGAUGAUAAACAUUUUUAUAUUGGCGUUUCCAAAAGUUUAUAUCAUGAUGUACUGCAUUGUUUCAAAAUCUGCUCUUCUUUUGUAUUAAACUAAUAUCAGCACCAGUCGGCUCCUCCUAUCCAACUCCCCUUUCAUUAGCAUUUCCCUCACCUACACUUAUUGUGUAUUUACAGCUUCAUACCAGACUUCUCAAGGAACACAGGGUGAGGAUGACCCUACUAAUACAACUGUGAGUAAUUUUAUUCACAAUAAUUUUGUAUGCUUUCUUUAUCUAAAUAAUUAAGUACUAAUUUAUUUCUUGAUUGCAGAUAUUUGUUGGUAAUUUGGACUCUAAUAUCACAGAUGAGCAUCUGAGGCAGAUUUUUGGCCAAUAUGGACAGUUACUUCAUGUAAAAAUACCAGCAGGAAAACGAUGUGGAUUUGUUCAAUUUGCUGACAGGUAACCUGGACAUUACCAUUGUUACCUUCUCAUCACACACUUAAUUUAAACACCAAGAAAUCAGUAUGAAGGAUUUAUCAUGUUCUCUGCAUCUGCUAUAACAGAAGCUGUGCUGAGGAAGCUUUACGAAUGUUAAAUGGAACCCAGUUGGGGGGACAAAGCAUUAGACUCUCAUGGGGCCGUAGUCCUUCAAACAAACAGGUACAAAUAAUCUCAUUUUUCGAUUUUCGAUUUUUCCUAUUUUUAGAACAGGUUUAUUAGUUCUCACUAAUGGUGAUUGUAACCAUAGUCAUCUAUUCAAAUUUUCGAGCUCAGGUUGAUCAAAUCCAGUCCAAUGCUGGAUAUUAUGGAUAUGCCCCUGGAUAUGAAACCUAUGGAUAUGCUCAAGCAGCUCAGGAUCCAAAUUUGUACUACGGAGGUUACCAAGGAUAUGGAAACUACCCACCGCCCCCUCAACAACCACCUCAGGUAGAUAUGCCUAUAGAUUUGAUGGGAAAACCCUUUUUACCUGAAAAUCAUUAUUAACAUACUUUGCAUGGGAGGGAGGACUAGUUGAACACUGUACAUUUACAUUUAUGCAAUGCUGAUUAUUGACUAGUUUUCCCAUUUCUUGAAUCUUAUCUGUCACAUUUUCCCUUGGUUGGUCGUUAUUUAAGGUCUGCCCACUGUUUUGAUUUAUAUUUACGUGGUAUUGGAUUUAUAUAGUAA
This 2315-nucleotide long non-coding RNA is filed under the name Olea europaea (common olive). RNAcentral's name for it is "long non-coding RNA (OEUR_LNC006692)". Lineage: Eukaryota; Viridiplantae; Streptophyta; Magnoliopsida; Lamiales; Oleaceae. The record is from RNAcentral.